AGUGAACGCUGGCGGCAGGCCUAAUACAUGCAAGUCGAACGGCAGCACAGUGGAGCUUGCUCCAUGGGUGGCGAGUGGCGGACGGGUGAGGAAUACAUGGGAAUCUGCCCAGUCGUGGGGGAUAACGUAGGGAAACUUACGCUAAUACCGCAUGCGCCCUUCGGGGGAAAGCCGGGGACCGUAAGGCCUGGCGCGAUUGGAUGAGCCCAUGUCGGAUUAGCUAGUUGGCGGGGUAACGGCCCACCAAGGCGACGAUCCGUAGCUGGUCUGAGAGGAUGAUCAGCCACACUGGAACUGAGACACGGUCCAGACUCCUACGGGAGGCAGCAGUAGGGAAUAUUGGACAAUGGGCGCAAGCCUGAUCCAGCCAUGCCGCGUGAGUGAAGAAGGCCCUCGGGUUGUAAAGCUCUUUUGUCCGGAAAGAAAAGCACUGGGUUAAUACCCCGGUGUCCUGACGGUACCGGAAGAAUAAGCACCGGCUAACUUCGUGCCAGCAG
This 497-nucleotide ribosomal RNA is filed under the name uncultured bacterium. Its description in RNAcentral is "bacterial SSU rRNA". It matches the Rfam family "Bacterial small subunit ribosomal RNA", at positions 29 to 514 of the family's 1533-position model. The record is from RNAcentral.